RNAcentral lists this unclassified non-coding RNA (535 nucleotides) under Hevea brasiliensis (rubber tree). The record is from RNAcentral. Lineage: Eukaryota; Viridiplantae; Streptophyta; Magnoliopsida; Malpighiales; Euphorbiaceae.
UUGUUGUUGAUCUUCAUCUCCACCGUUCAGUAUAAUUUCUCUUACAUUACUGCAUUCACUUACAUGCAUCUUGGUGAGAUUCACCAUCCAUCUAGCCGUGGACAAUGUUACUAUGUUUACAAAUAUUUCACACUGCCCCACAUAUAGAGUUGUAAGAUUUUGGAAAGAUGCAGGGAAUGGUGCCAGACUAACCAAACCGUAGCAACUCCUUAUUUCUAGAGUUUCCAGAUUUGGAAGAACGUGGGCUAGUGGAGAUUCAGGACUCCACAUAUGCCCCAUUUUGGGAAGUCCUUCCAGUCUUAAGUAUCUUAUCUGUGCAAGAGCCCUUGCAUUUCUCUCUUCACAAUGAACACCAUAUGGGAAUCGCUCUUCAAAAUCAGAGAAACACACAUGAAGUUUUUCCAUGUUUGGGAAUUUUUGAAGAAGAUCAAAUGGGAAUGCUGAAGUAUCAGGAAAGAAAAAUAGGCCAAGAAAUUUUAGUUUGUUAAAGAGGUCUGCAAAAUGGCCUUGGCAUAUCAUUGUGAUCUCCUUGCUG